This 716-nucleotide unclassified non-coding RNA is filed under the name Hevea brasiliensis (rubber tree). The record is from RNAcentral. Lineage: Eukaryota; Viridiplantae; Streptophyta; Magnoliopsida; Malpighiales; Euphorbiaceae.
GAAAAGCAGAAGUACUGAAAAGAGUUUUAAGUUACACGGCGUCUAAACUAUACACCAAGGGAAGAAGCAACUGUACUUUUAGGUUCUACAUGAUUAUAGGAUGCCAAAUACAAUCACAAAUUGUUCAAUGACAGUAAACAACUGAAAAACAUCGAAAUCAAUCCUACGAAAUUGCAAAUUAGAUGCACUUGAACAUGCCAAAAUGAAAGACCAAGCUACAAAUACUCGCAAAGUCAGCUUCUUGUUUUCAUCCAACGAAUGUUACACCCACAAAUUUCAGAUCACCCACAGGCGAAAUCACUUGGCAACCAUCCUGGCAAUGAAUUCCUCGUACUUAAUCUUUCCAUCUGAUCCAACAUCAACCUCUCGGAUCCACUCAUCAAACUCCGAAGCCUCGAGCUUUUCACCUAUACUGGUGAGGAUAUGCUUGAGAUCCGCAACAACAACAUAACCGGUAGAAUCCUUAUCGAGGACCUUAAAGGCAUCACGGAGCUGGCGAUCAAAGGGCUCAGGCUUGAGGUGUUUGGACAUAAGCUCAAGGAAACGGUUGAAAUCGAAGGGCGCAUUGAGUUUCUCCUCGGCGAUUAUGGAUUUGAGUUGAGCUUGGGUAGGGUUGCCGCCGAGUGAACGCAUAAGGAUACCUAGCUCCGAUGGGGCGAUCUUACCGUCACCGUCGGUAUCGAAGAGAGUGAAGGCCUCCUUCAUGGAGGAUAUUU